UUACAAGCGUGAGCCACUGCACCUGGCCAGCUCACCAUAAUGUUUUAAAGUCCAAUAAAAUGGAUGUUAACUGCAGUAGGAGCAUAGGUUUAUUUAGGAAAGUUAAGUGACAUAGUAACAUUUUUACAAAAAAGAGGAUAUUUACGAGGCCUCUUUCUGUGAGGAGACCCUGUCCUGGAGUGAUGUCCUGCAUUUGUGUGCUGCCUGUGUGAACACACUGCCUACUUCACAGUGAUGAGGGUGGCUUAGCCACAGACCCGAGGCUGUGUCUCCCAGGGCUCUCCUGAUGGUCUUCUUUGCCUCCUUCACCACCAAGGAGGGUGGCCCAACAGCAGCUCAGCCCGUGCUCUCACCCACCUCCUCCACACACGCCAGCCCUGUGUGCUCAGCACCCAAGGCUGCCAGAGGUCCUUCAGCAGCUCCCACGGCUGACAAUGACUCUAUGUUUCCUAGUGACGGAGGCCAGUGUGGUGUCCCCAGAAGUGGCCCUAGCUCUUUGCGAGCGAACAGGACUAGGACCUCCCAGGAAAGGACGUUUCAAGUUUCUUGCAGCAGAGCUUCCUAGAGAGAAGUCCACAGAGAAAGUCGUGGCCC
Cercocebus atys (sooty mangabey) is the source of this 594-nucleotide long non-coding RNA. RefSeq lists it as uncharacterized. The record is from RefSeq and is a predicted model, not a curated record. The transcript is spliced from 3 exons. NCBI's taxonomy places the organism in Eukaryota, Metazoa, Chordata, Mammalia, Primates, Cercopithecidae.